Molecule: ribosomal RNA, 269 nt
Filed under: uncultured prokaryote
Description: partial 16S ribosomal RNA
Rfam family: Bacterial small subunit ribosomal RNA
Source: RNAcentral
UACGUAGGGUGCGAGCGUUGUCCGGAAUUACUGGGCGUAAAGAGCUUGUAGGCGGUUUGUCGCGUCUGCUGUGAAAAUCCGGGGCUCAACCCCGGACUUGCAGUGGGUACGGGCAGACUAGAGUGUGGUAGGGGAGACUGGAAUUCCUGGUGUAGCGGUGAAAUGCGCAGAUAUCAGGAGGAACACCGGUGGCGAAGGCGGGUCUCUGGGCAGUAACUGACGCUGAGGAGCGAAAGCAUGGGUAGCGAACAGGAUUAGAUACCCGUGUA